UACGUAGGGUGCAAGCGUUAAUCGGAAUUACUGGGCGUAAAGCGUGCGCAGGCGGUGAUGUAAGACAGUUGUGAAAUCCCCGGGCUCAACCUGGGAACUGCGUCCGAUACUGGCAGGCUUGAAUCCGGGAGAGGGAUGUGGAAUUCCAGGUGUAGCGGUGAAAUGCGUAGAUAUCUGGAGGAACACCGGUGGCGAAGGCGGCAUCCUGGACCGGUAUUGACGCUGAUGCGCGAAAGCCAGGGGAGCAAACGGG
This 253-nucleotide ribosomal RNA is filed under the name uncultured bacterium. RNAcentral's name for it is "partial 16S ribosomal RNA". It matches the Rfam family "Bacterial small subunit ribosomal RNA", at positions 524 to 776 of the family's 1533-position model. The record is from RNAcentral.